This 65-nucleotide transfer RNA is filed under the name Dipodomys ordii (Ord's kangaroo rat). It matches the Rfam family "tRNA". Rfam says of the family: Transfer RNA (tRNA) molecules are approximately 80 nucleotides in length. Their secondary structure includes four short double-helical elements and three loops (D, anti-codon, and T loops). The record is from Rfam by way of RNAcentral. Lineage: Eukaryota; Metazoa; Chordata; Mammalia; Rodentia; Heteromyidae.
GGUGGCUCAGUGGUAGAGCGCUUGUCUUGCAUGCAUGAGGCCCUGGGUUCCAAUCCUCAGCACCA